This 114-nucleotide Y RNA is filed under the name Propithecus coquereli (Coquerel's sifaka). RNAcentral's name for it is "Y RNA (ENSPCOG00000008387.1)". It matches the Rfam family "Y RNA". From Rfam's summary of the family: Y RNAs are components of the Ro ribonucleoprotein particle (Ro RNP), in association with Ro60 and La proteins. The Y RNAs and Ro60 and La proteins are well conserved, but the function of the Ro RNP is not known. The record is from Rfam by way of RNAcentral. Lineage: Eukaryota; Metazoa; Chordata; Mammalia; Primates; Indriidae.
GGCUGGUCCAAAGGUAGUGAGUUAUCUCAGUUGAUUGUUCACAGUCAGUUACAGAUUGAACUUCUUGUUCUACUACUUUCCCUCCUCCUCACUGCUGUACUUGACUAGUCUAAA